AGCAGGUUUCCCCCCCGGAUUCCCGUGGCUCUGAGCUUGAGGAUUCCUCCCUCUCCCGCUGGAUCUCACUCUGCUGAAGCCUGAACUUAGAAGACCCGGAUUGCACAUUCCUUACAUUGUAAACAAAUAAAAGUUUGUACCCAU
Molecule: long non-coding RNA, 144 nt
Organism: Melanotaenia boesemani (Boeseman's rainbowfish)
Lineage: Eukaryota; Metazoa; Chordata; Actinopteri; Atheriniformes; Melanotaeniidae
Exons: 2
Source: RefSeq, a predicted model, not a curated record